Long non-coding RNA from Drosophila navojoa, 851 nucleotides. NCBI's taxonomy places the organism in Eukaryota, Metazoa, Arthropoda, Insecta, Diptera, Drosophilidae. The record is from RefSeq and is a predicted model, not a curated record.
GCGACGCUGACAGGUUGUGUGUGCUGUGCGCGCAUCUUAAAUCGUUCGCCUCCUCCCAAAUUGCUUUUGACGUGUUUUUUUCUGUUUCAUUUUUUUUGUUGUUGUUGUUAUUAUUAUUGUACUGUGUGUGUGAUCGCAGCCCGGGAACUGUGCGAAAUUGUUAUCAAUGAGCUGCAGCCACCGAUGUUAAUGAUCAUCUGGCGAAUGAGGAUUGCGCCUACCUGUUAAUGUGCGCGUUAAUUGGCAGCAAAUGCAGUUCGCCAAAUAAAUAAGAAAACAAAACAAAAUAACCGAAAUCAACGCAGAUCGGAAGAAGCAGAAGCAGAAGCAGAAGCAGAAGUGCGUGCGAAGUGGUUGAGCCGUUUGCAUUCAAUUCUUUCGGUUUUGCCUUUCGCCUGAGGGGGGGACACAAAUUUAACGCUGCUUCCUCUUUGCCGCUUCGAAUGCCAAAAUUUAUUUGAGAUCGAGCGAGAUAGAGACAUAUAUUUAUAGAGAUUGAGUAGAAUUUCGGAAAUGUGCCGUUGUGCCGCUUGUGGUCCAACGGAUGUUGCUAGUGCAAAAGAGAGCAGAGCGGAAAGUCUCUCUUCAGCAUUGAGAGCAAUGACAAGUGAGUGAAUCGAGUGAAGGAAGGAAACGGCUCGCGUCGUCUUGAUUUUGGAAUCCUGCACGGAUUGAUACAGCCAAAGAUGCGCUCUUAGCAGGUGCGAGCAGGCGAGCGCUGAACUGUGCGAAAGAGACAGCAAAUCGUGCACAGAGCGAACUUUCGCGGAGGACAACGGGCCGCAAACCAAAAGGCAAACGCAAAGCACAGAGCACAGAGCAAAGCCAAGCAGAAAUCAGGUAAAUUCGCA